This 253-nucleotide ribosomal RNA is filed under the name uncultured bacterium. RNAcentral's name for it is "partial 16S ribosomal RNA". It matches the Rfam family "Archaeal small subunit ribosomal RNA", at positions 474 to 727 of the family's 1478-position model. The record is from RNAcentral.
UACCAGCACCCCGAGUGGUCGGGACGUUUAUUGGGCCUAAAGCAUCCGUAGCCGGUUCUACAAGUCUUCCGUUAAAUCCAACUGCUUAACAGGUGGGCUGCGGAAGAUACUAUAGAGCUAGGAGGCGGGAGAGGCAAGCGGUACUCGAUGGGUAGGGGUAAAAUCCGUUGAUCCAUUGAAGACCACCAGUGGCGAAGGCGGCUUGCCAGAACGCGCUCGACGGUGAGGGAUGAAAGCUGGGGGAGCAAACGGG